This 3764-nucleotide ribosomal RNA is filed under the name Candidatus Fervidibacter japonicus. RNAcentral's name for it is "bacterial LSU rRNA". It matches the Rfam family "Bacterial large subunit ribosomal RNA". The record is from RNAcentral. Lineage: Bacteria; Candidatus Fervidibacterota; Fervidibacteria; Fervidibacterales; Fervidibacteraceae.
UCAAGCUACAAAGGGCAUGCGGUGGAUGCCUCGGCACCAGGGGCCGAAGAAGGGCGUGGCAAGCUGCGAAAAGCCCCGGGGAGCCGCAAGCAGGCUGUGAUCCGGGGAUGCCCGAAUGGGGAAACCUGGCGGGGAAAAUCCCCGUCACCGUUGGGUGAAUCCAUAGCCCAACGGGGGGCAGCCCGCGAACUGAAACAUCUUAGUAGCGGGACGAAAAGAAAGCAACCGCGAUGCCCCGAGUAGUGGCGAGCGAAAGGGGCACAGCCUAAACCGUCACCGUGUCAAAGCCCGCAGGCGUUGCGGUGACGGGGUAGCGGGACGGCACUGGAGGGGGCUGCGGACCCCUCAGGGAGUUACAAAACCUGGACCUAGCCGAAGCGGCCUGGAACGGCCCGCCGUAGAGGGUGAGAGCCCCGUAGGCGAAAGGUCAAAGGUCUCCCGGAGUGCCGCUCCCAAGUAGCUCGGGCCCCGUGAAAGCCUGAGCGAAUCUGGGGGGACCACCCCCUAAGGCUAAAUACCCCUGGUGACCGAUAGUGCACCAGUACCGUGAGGGAACGGUGAAAAGAACGGUGAGAAGCCGAGUGAAAGAGAACCUGAAACCGCAUGCCUACAAGCAGUCGGAGGGCUAUGCCCCACUUGUGUGGGGCACUGCCUGACGGCGUGCCUCUUGAAGAAUGAGCCGGGGAGUUGCCGUCGGUGGCGAGGUUAAGUGCCAUAAGGCACGGAGCCGUAGGGAAACCGAGUCUGAACAGGGCGUUGAGUCGCCGGCGGCAGACCCGAAACCGAGCGAGCUACCCCUGCCCAGGGUGAAGUGUCCUUAACCGGACACGGAGGCCCGAACCCAUCGGUGUUGCAAAACCGUGGGAUGAGGUGGGGGUAGCGGUGAAACGCCAACCGAGCUCGGAGAUAGCUGGUUCUCCCCGAAACACGUGUAGGCGUGGCGUCAGGACCUUCAGCGGUGGAGGUAGAGCGACGGAUGGGGGUAGGGGGUUGACAGCCUACCAAACCCCGUCCAACUCCGAAUGCCACCGCUGGUCCCUUGAGGGGCUAAGUCCUGGCAGUCGGACAUCGGGGGAUAAGCUCCGAUGUCGCGAGGGAAACAGCCCAGACCGCCAGCUAAGGUCCCUAAGUCUCGGCUCAGUGGAGAACGCAGUGGGACUCCGAAGACAGCCGGGAGGUUGGCUUAGAAGCAGCCAUCCUUUAAACAGUGCGUAACAGCUGACCGGCCGAGGAGUCCUGCGCGGAAGAUGUAGCGGGGCUAAGCCGAGCACCGAAGCUGCGGGCUUGGCGAGGUUGCUGCUUCGCAGCACUUCGUCAGGCGGUAGGGGAGCGUUCCGCUUGCUGCGAAGCCCGACCGAAAGGACGGGUGGAGCGGGCGGAAGUGAGAAUCCCGGCACGAGUAGCGAUAAGGCAGGUGAGAAUCCUGCCCGCCGGAAGCCCAAGGUUUCCGACGCAACGCUCGUCGGCGUCGGGUGAGGCGGUCCUAAGCCGAGGCCGUUCGGCGUAGGCGAUGGGCAGCGGGUUGAUAUUCCCGCCCCACCAACCUCCGCCAUCAGGGAUGGGUGACGCACCCAAGGGAGCCUACGCGGCGAUGGUCGUCCGCGGCGACCGUGGAGUCAGCCGUUUCUUGUGAACGGCUGGCUUGGCGGGAGUGAGCCGCCUUUGUGCGGCGAAGUGGCGACCCAAGGGGGCCAAGAAAAACCCUUACCGAGUCCGUCCCGAAAGGGACGGCGCGGAGCGUUGGUGACCGUACCGGAAACCGCCACAGGUGGGCGAGGAGAGUAUCCACAGGCGCGCGGGAUAACCCCCGCCAAGGAACUCUGCAAAAUGUCCCCGUAACUUCGGGAGAAGGGGAGCCGUAGUAGGGUGAAAGGACCUUCGCGUCCGAGUAGCCCGAGGCGGUCGCAGAUAAGCGGCCGGGGCGACUGUUUAACAAAAACACAGGUUCCUGCCAACCCGAAAGGGGAGGUAUAGGGGCCGACGCCUGGCCAGUGCCCGAAGGUUAAGGGGACGGGUUCGCCAGGUUCUCGCCUGGCAAAGCUCGCGCCCCGAAGCCCGGGUAAACGCCGGCCGUAACCCUGACGGUCCUAAGGUAGCCGAACGCUGCCCUUCAUCCCGGCAACGGGAUGAAUGCAGCCGGCUGUAUGCGGGGAAGUCCUUAGAGCCUGGCUUACGAGGCGCUGUAAAAGUGCCCGUAAAAAUAGCCAGGAUUGGACAACCCGCAGGAAACCUACCAAACGGUAGGGAUCCUCAGAGACUAUACGCUGGCCUCCAAUCUGAAGGUGAGUGCCUAUGCACCUUUCGCCCGACUGGGUUGUCGGUUUCACAGACGGUGAAGGUUGCUUCUUUGUCGGUAUUAACCGAAACCCAGCCACCGCAACCGGUUACCAAGUUCUGCCUGAGUUCGUGAUUGUCCAGCACAAACGGGAUAUCCAAAUUCUCUACGCGCUCAAACGCUUCUUCCGGCAUGGAGUUGUCCGACCCAACCACGGUGACCGAUACGCCUAUCGUGUCCGAGACCUACAGGGGCUUCGGAAAAUAUGCGAUUUCUUCCUCAAACACCCGCUAAAGACGAAAAAGCGGGUUGACUUCCUUCGUUUCAAUCGUAUCCUCACGAUGAUGGAGCGCGGUGACCACCUAAGGCUCGACGGAUUGUUGGAAAUCGCUAAAAUCGCCCUUCGCAUGAAUACAGAAAACCGCUCUCAGUUGGAGCAGAUCGUAGCGGGAAUUAGGCAACGCCUUCAGAUUGGAUGAAGAGAUAGUCCACCCCCAGCCGAAAGGUUGGGACAAGGUGAGCGAAAUUCCUUGUCGGGUAAGUUCCGACCCGCACGAAAGGCGUAACGACUUCGGCGCUGUCUCGGCGGGGGGCCCGGUGAAACUGUGGUGUCCGUGAAGACGCGGACUACCCGCGGCGGGACGGAAAGACCCCGUGGAGCUUUACUGCAGCCUGGCCUUGGGCUUUGGGGCGGGAUGCAGAGGAUAGGUGGGAGCCGGUGAAGCUCGCCCUCCGGGGCGGGUGGAGGCGCCCGUGGAAUACCACCCUUCCCGCUCUUGGGUCCUAACUUGGUCCCGUGAAUCCGGGUCAAGGACAGGGUCAGGUGGGCAGUUUGGCUGGGGCGGCGGCCUCCUAAAAGGUAACGGAGGCGUCCAAAGGUUCCCUCAGGGCGGAUGGAAAUCGCCCGUGGAGUGCAAAGGCAGAAGGGAGCCUGACUGUGAGGCUUACAAGCCGAGCAGCCGCGAAAGCGGGGCUUAGUGACCCGGCGGUUCGGAAGUGGGACUGCCGCCGAUCAACGGAUAAAAGCUACCCCGGGGAUAACAGGCUAAUGGCGCCCGAGCGUCCCCAGCGACGGCGCCGUUUGGCACCUCGAUGUCGGCUCAUCGCAUCCUGGGGCUGAAGCCGGUCCCAAGGGUUGGGCUGUUCGCCCAUUAAAGCGGUACGUGAGCUGGGUUCAGACCGUCGUGAGACAGGUCGGUCCCUAUCCGCCGCGGGCGCAGGAGGCUUGCGGGGGGCUCGCCCUAGUACGAGAGGACCGGGCGGGACCAGCCUCUGGUGUCCCGGCUGUCGCGCCAGCGGCACGCGCCGGGUAGCCAUGCUGGGUCGGGAUAACCGCUGAAAGCAUCUAAGCGGGAAGCCCACCCCAAGAUAAGGCCUCCCACGGGGUUAACCCGGUAAGGGCCCGGGAAGACGACCCGGUUGAUGGGCUGGAGGUGGAAGCUCGGCAACGGGUGAAGCUGACCAGUCCCAAUCGCCCGAGGGCUUGACU